RNAcentral lists this transfer RNA (75 nucleotides) under Pseudomonadota bacterium. RNAcentral describes it as "Proteobacteria bacterium tRNA-Val". It matches the Rfam family "tRNA". From Rfam's summary of the family: Transfer RNA (tRNA) molecules are approximately 80 nucleotides in length. Their secondary structure includes four short double-helical elements and three loops (D, anti-codon, and T loops). RNAcentral also lists the same sequence under 1 other name. The record is from RNAcentral. Lineage: Bacteria; Pseudomonadati; Pseudomonadota.
GGACGCGUAGCUCAGUGGGAGAGCACCACGUUGACAUCGUGGGGGUCGCAAGUUCAAUCCUUGCCGCGUCCACCA